Eucalyptus grandis is the source of this 1270-nucleotide long non-coding RNA. RefSeq lists it as uncharacterized. The transcript has 2 exons. Lineage: Eukaryota; Viridiplantae; Streptophyta; Magnoliopsida; Myrtales; Myrtaceae. The record is from RefSeq and is a predicted model, not a curated record.
UCUCUCUCUCUCUCUCUCUCUCUCUCUCUCUCUCUCACCUACCCUCUCUCUCUCUCGAUCUCUCCGCCCGCCACCGUUCGCUGCCAUUGCCACUGCUCACUGUUGCCACCACUCGCCGACAACAUCGUGAGCCGCCAUGAGCUGUCGGCGGUUUACUACUUUCGCCACCACCAUUGUUUCUCGUUCCAUUUUUGGACUAAGCUGUCACCGAUGGAUUUCAGACGAUGUCCAAUAGAAUUCAGAUGCCUUCCACAAAUGGAAUUCGGGACGAAACCCGAUGGAUUUUGGAUACUGUCACCAAUGGAUGGGCAGGACCAUAUUCGGUGGAUUCCUAAAAAAUCGAUACAAUUGAGUUAUGUGAUGUAAUAAUUGAAAGUUCAUGUGAUUUAUUAUGGUUUAAGAAAUAUCAUUUGGUUGUUGAUCAUGUUGCAUUUUUAGGCACUUGAGAGUCACGUGCAUAAUUUAGAUGCUAUUAUUAUUAUUAUUAUUAUUAUUAUUUAGAGAUGCUAUUAUUUGGCACGUGCAUAUUUGCAUGUUAUUUUUUGGGUCUUGAGAGUCAUGUAUAUAUUUUAUAUGUUAUUAUUUGGGCCUUGAGAGUCACGUGCAUAUUUUAUGUGCUAUUAUUUUGGCCUUGAUUCACGUGCAUAUUUUACAUGCCAUUAUUUGAUUUUGAUCAUACUUGUUUUAUAAGUAGUUGAUGAUUCUCGCAUGUCUUAACCAAGGUAAAGAAAAUGUUUUGCUAUUGAUUUACCAUCGACGUUUUUAGCAUCAUGAAUCGCAUAUUUCCGAUACGAGGCAUCCAUCUAUAUGAGGAUUAGAUGAUUUAUUUAUUGAGUUUUCAACUCGUUUGUUAUUGUUUCCCUCUUUUUCAGGCUCGUAAGUAUGGCUACCUUACCCAUUCGCUUUCGUGUGCCCAUGGAAAUAAAAGUGGACUUGUUGGACAUAGUAGAUGGUAGUAACGAUGCCGUGAAUAGGAGACGUAUCACCAUGGUGUGGGUGGACGAGGGUGUAGAACAUUUGGUUCCUCAUCGGUUCGAGACUUAGUAUAUCUAGUUCGAUAGGGACUAUUUUGGAUUGAUGACUGACUCCAAUCCCGAGUCAUAAGGACGUCGGCCUAACUAUAAGGAUACCAUCUUUUGACGCCAUCCUCGUAGAGGAGUUAGGAUUAACCCUAUUCCUUUUGAUGUAAUCGAAAACGGCCCCAACUAAACGGGCUUAUAAAUAUAACUUUUAUUCUAGUGAUACAUAAUAUAAGAAGUAUGUUUAUAUA